This 1630-nucleotide ribosomal RNA is filed under the name human gut metagenome. RNAcentral describes it as "bacterial LSU rRNA". It matches the Rfam family "Bacterial large subunit ribosomal RNA", at positions 656 to 2587 of the family's 2925-position model. The record is from RNAcentral.
AGUCGUGGAGCCGUAGCGAAAGCGAGUUUUAAAUGGCGUAUAGUUGUGUAGGGUAGACGCGAAACCAAGUGAUCUAUCCGUGUCCAGACUGAAGUGAGGGUAAAACCUCAUGGAGGGUCCAACGGAGAAAUGGUGAAAAAUUUCCCGAUGAGGUACGGAUAGGAGUGAAAGGCCAAUCAAACUUGGAGAUAGCUCGUACUCCCCGAAAUGCAUUUAGGUGCAGCCUUUAUGGUUAAGUACACGAGGUAGAGCGACUGAUUGGAUGCGAGAGCUUCACCGCUUAUCAAAUCCGGACAAACUCCGAAUGCGUGUAUGAAUUCAUGAAGAGUGAGGGUGCGGGAGCUAAGUUCCGUAUCCGAGAGGCAAAGAAGCCGGACCAUCAGCUAAGGCCCCCAAAUGAUGUCUAAGUUGAAUGAACGAAGUCGCAAUGCAGAGACAGCUAGGAUGUUGGCUUGGAAGCAGCCAUUCAUUUAAAGAGUGCGUAACAGCUCACUAGUCGAGGAUUGUGGCGUGGAUAAUAAUCGGGCAUAAGACAUCUGCCGAAGCUAUGGGAUCGAAAGAUCGGUAGGGGAGCAUUCCAGCGAGGUCGAAGGUGUGAGGUGACUCAUGCUGGACUCUCUGGAAGAGCAAAUGUAGGUAUAAGUAACGAUAAAGGAAGUGAGAAUCUUCCUCGCCGAAAGACUAAGGUUUCCUCUUCAACGUUCGUCGGAAGAGGGUUAGUCGGGGGUAGUAAAGUACGUCCCAGAGCCGAACCUGAUAGUACCGGGAAUCUACGGAGGAACGGAUAGAGGUGUAAGCAGACUUCCAAGAAAAGUUGCUACAUGAUUGAUGUGUAAGCACUCGUACCACAAACCGACACAGGUAGUUGGGUUGAGUAUACUAAGGCGCGCGAGAUAGGCGUGGUUAAGGAACUAGGCAAAAUGGAUCUGUAACUUCGGGAAAAAGAUCGCCCUCCUCCGGGAGGGUUGCAGAGAAUAGGCUCAAGCGACUGUUUACCAAAAACAUAGGGCUGUGCGAAAUAGAAAUAUGCAGUAUACAGCCUGACACCUGCCCGGUGCCGGAAGGUUAAGAGGAGAGGUCAUCCGUAAGGAGAAGCCUUGAAUUGAAGCCCCGGUAAACGGCGGCCGUAACUAUAACGGUCCUAAGGUAGCGAAAUUCCUUGUCGGGUAAGUUCCGACCUGCACGAAUGGUAGGAUAGGCCGGAGGCUGUGAUGUGGCGUCGCCAGAUGUCAUGGAGUCAUUGGUGAAAUACGGCCCUUUUGGUAUUUGAAUACUAACUCGCAAGAGCGAGGACAAUGUAUGGUGGGUAGUUUGACUGGGGCGGUCGCCUCCAAAAAAGUAUCGGAGGCUUCUAAAGGUACCCUCAAGACGAUUGGUAACCGUCUGUAAGAGUGUAAUGGCAGAAGGGUGCUUGACUGGGAGACUAACAAGUCGCACAGGUAGGAAACUAGAGCAUAGUGAUCCGGUGGUUCCGCAUGGUAGGGCCAUCGCUCAAAGGAUAAAAGGUACUCCGGGGAUAACAGGCUGAUCACUCCCAAGAGCUCAUAUCGACGGAGUGGUUUGGCACCUCGAUGUCGGCUCGUCACAUCCUGGGGCUGGAGAAGGUCCCAAGGGUUGGGCUGUUCGCCCA